CUACGUAGGGAGCGAGCGUUGUCCGGAAUUACUGGGCGUAAAGGGCGCGUAGGCGGCGCUUCAAGUCGUCUGUCAAAUGGGAGGGCUUGACCCUUUUUCGCAGACGAAACUGGAGAGCUUGAGAAGCAGAGAGGCAAACAGAAUUCCUGGUGUAGCGGUGAAAUGCGUAGAUAUCAGGAAGAAUACCAGUGGCGAAGGCGGUUUGCUGGCUGCAUACUGACGCUGAAGCGCGAAAGCCAGGGGAGCAAACGGGAUUAGAUACCCCGGUAGUCCUGGCAGUAAACGAUGUAUGCUGGGUGUGAGACUAGCGAUAGUUUCGUGCCGAAGUUAACGCGAUAAGCAUACCGCCUGGGGAGUACGGUCGCAAGAUUGAAACUCAAAUGAAUUGGCGGGG
RNAcentral lists this ribosomal RNA (394 nucleotides) under uncultured bacterium. Its description in RNAcentral is "partial 16S ribosomal RNA". It matches the Rfam family "Bacterial small subunit ribosomal RNA", at positions 523 to 918 of the family's 1533-position model. The record is from RNAcentral.